Molecule: ribosomal RNA, 372 nt
Filed under: uncultured organism
Description: partial 16S ribosomal RNA
Rfam family: Bacterial small subunit ribosomal RNA
Source: RNAcentral
GGGGGGGCAAGCGUUGUUCGGAGUUACUGGGCGUAAAGGGCGUGUAGGCGGUCCUGCAAGUCUUUCGUGAAAUCCCACAGCUCAACUGUGGAACUGCGAGGGAAACUGCAGGACUUGAGUCCGGGAGAGGAGAGUGGAAUUCCCAGUGUAGCGGUGAAAUGCGUAGAUAUUGGGAGGAACACCGGUGGCGAAGGCGGCUCUCUGGACCGGUACUGACGCUGAGGCGCGAAAGCUAGGGGAGCAAACGGGAUUAGAUACCCCGGUAGUCCUAGCCUUAAACGAUGAGCACUUGGUGUGGCGGGUAUCGACCCCCUGCCGUGCCGAAGCUAACGCAUUAAGUGCUCCGCCUGGGGGAGUACGGUCGCAAGGCUG